This 400-nucleotide ribosomal RNA is filed under the name uncultured bacterium. RNAcentral's name for it is "bacterial SSU rRNA". It matches the Rfam family "Bacterial small subunit ribosomal RNA", at positions 30 to 431 of the family's 1533-position model. The record is from RNAcentral.
AUUGAACGCUGGCGGUAUGCUUAACACAUGCAAGUCGAACGGUAACAGGCCUUCGGGCGCUGACGAGUGGCGGACGGGUGAGUAACGCGUAGGAAUCUGCCUCAUAGUGGGGGACAACGUGGGGAAACUCACGCUAAUACCGCAUACGCCCUACGGGGGAAAGCGGGGGAGUCUUCGGACCUCGCGCUAUGAGAUGAGCCUGCGUUAGAUUAGCUAGUUGGUAGGGUAAAGGCCUACCAAGGCGACGAUCUAUAGCUGGUCUGAGAGGACGAUCAGCCACACUGGGACUGAGACACGGCCCAGACUCCUACGGGAGGCAGCAGUGGGGAAUAUUGGACAAUGGGCGCAAGCCUGAUCCAGCAAUACCGCGUGUGUGAAGAAGGCCCUAGGGUUGUAAAGC